GCCACCGUAGCUCAAUUGGCAGAGCAGCGGUUUUGUAAACCGCAGGUUGAGGGUUCGAGUCCCCCCGGUGGCU
Molecule: transfer RNA, 73 nt
Filed under: Phycisphaerae bacterium
Lineage: Bacteria; Pseudomonadati; Planctomycetota; Phycisphaerae
Also listed under: 1 other name
Description: tRNA-Thr
Rfam family: tRNA
About the family: Transfer RNA (tRNA) molecules are approximately 80 nucleotides in length. Their secondary structure includes four short double-helical elements and three loops (D, anti-codon, and T loops).
Source: RNAcentral